RNAcentral lists this ribosomal RNA (245 nucleotides) under uncultured Luteolibacter sp. Its description in RNAcentral is "partial 16S ribosomal RNA". It matches the Rfam family "Bacterial small subunit ribosomal RNA", at positions 524 to 768 of the family's 1533-position model. The record is from RNAcentral. Lineage: Bacteria; Pseudomonadati; Verrucomicrobiota; Verrucomicrobiia; Verrucomicrobiales; Verrucomicrobiaceae.
UACGAAGGUCCCGAGCGUUGUUCGGAAUCACUGGGCGUAAAGGGAGCGUAGGCGGCGUGGUAAGUCAGAUGUGAAAUCCCGGGGCUCAACCCCGGAACUGCAUCCGAUACUGCCAUGCUUGAGGAUUGGAGAGGUAGCUGGAAUUCUUGGUGUAGCAGUGAAAUGCGUAGAGAUCAAGAGGAACACUCGUGGCGAAAGCGAGCUACUGGACAAUUCCUGACGCUGAGGCUCGAAGGCUAGGGUAG